This 253-nucleotide ribosomal RNA is filed under the name uncultured bacterium. RNAcentral describes it as "partial 16S ribosomal RNA". It matches the Rfam family "Bacterial small subunit ribosomal RNA", at positions 524 to 776 of the family's 1533-position model. The record is from RNAcentral.
UACAGAGGUCUCAAGCGUUGUCCGGAUUCAUUGGGCGUAAAGGGUGUGUAGGUGGCGCGCUAAGUCGGGUGUGAAAUUUCGGAGCUUAACUCCGAAACUGCAUUCGAUACUGGCGUGCUUGAGGACUGGAGAGGAGACUGGAAUUCAUGGUGUAGCAGUGAAAUGCGUAGAGAUCAUGAGGAAGACCAGUGGCGAAGGCGGGUCUCUGGACAGUUCCUGACACUGAGACACGAAGGCCAGGGGAGCAAACGGG